This 1066-nucleotide long non-coding RNA is filed under the name Gallus gallus (chicken). RNAcentral's name for it is "lncRNA (ENSGALG00010017244.1)". Lineage: Eukaryota; Metazoa; Chordata; Aves; Galliformes; Phasianidae. The record is from RNAcentral.
GUGGAGGUGAAGGUGUUUGGUUGGAGCUCCCUAUGUACCUGAGGCCUUUCAAAGUCACACCUUUUGAAAUACGUGGUCUUAGCAAAAUCCAUUUGAAAUGAAGUCUCAGAGCUGACAAGCAGUGAUUUAUCACAGAACAGAACUGAAAGAGGACAUACAGAAUAUCAUGGCUACCAGAUGUCAUUACAAACAUCACCUAACAUCAAAAGCUGCACCUCAUUAUAGAGGAAAGGAAAAGGAAAAAGAAGGAAAAUAAACACUCCAGUCUGGAAGAAGAGUAAUUCUUUAGAAGUGGUGUCAGAAAAGAGAGGAAAUGAGGUUAUGAGUUAUGCUUUGUCCCUCUUUGAAUUCUCUGUCUAGAAUUUGCAGGUGACUGAAGACGGUCAAGUUAUUGGUCCCACUGCAGACAGAAGCACACAACUCUGCUGUCUAUGAAACAUCGGCAUGGUACUCUUGUAAUGGAGGAAGGAUUGACUGAUAUUAGAACAUCUAAGAUGACAGGUCCAGAGAAGGAUUUGCCAAAGGAAUCUGGUGGUAACCAGUCAGGCUCAUACAGGGAAAUGACACAUGGAAAUAAAGCAGCCCUCCCCUUCUUCCCUCUCUUCCCUCUAGGAGUGAAUUACCUAUGAACGACAUUCUUGGGGCUUCCCAGAAAGCUUAGAGGAGCACAGAGUCAUCAGCAGGACGUUACAGUAACAAAUGAUGUAGAGAACUCUGAGUCUGAUCAGUUCUAAUGGAGUCCCACAGUGGUGCAGCAGACACAGAGUGCCCACAUCAGUUCUUCAUCAAGCAGAAUUCCUCCAAGAGCUUCAUGGCAGAGCCCCAAACCCACAGCCUUACAGGCUGGAACUGCUUCCAUCUUUUUCCUGUCUCUGAUUUCUGCAAUCAUCGUGUAUAGAUUGCCUAGACUGAAAAACAGCAAUGACAACAAAAAUCCCCCUUACUAACAACAAUAACCCCCUAUCCUCCUGUGAGUAAGGGAGUUUGGGGAACAGAGAUAACAAUCAGCCAGGCUGUGUCCUGGAGCUCCCUGCUGCAGGGACACAUCCACAUAAAGUUGCUGUUG